CAAUCACUUGUCUUUUAAAUGAAGACCUGUAUGAAUGGCAAAACGAGGGCUUAGCUGUCUCCUUCCCCCAGUCAAUGAAAUUGAUCUCCCCGUGAAGAAGCGGGGAUACUUACAUAAGACGAGAAGACCCUAUGGAGCUUUAGACACCAAGGCAGAUCACGUUAAAACCCCCGAAUAAGGGAAUAAACAAGAUGAAGACUGCCCUAUGUCUUUGGUUGGGGCGACCGCGGGGCAAAAAGUACCCCCCAUGUGGAAAGGGAACACCCUUCCUAUCACCCAGAGCUACCGCUCUAAUUAUCAGAACAUCUGACCAAAAGAUCCGGCUCAAGCCGAUCAACGGACCGAGUUACCCUAGGGAUAACAGCGCAAUCCCCUUCUAGAGACCC
Molecule: ribosomal RNA, 386 nt
Filed under: Lophius budegassa (black-bellied angler)
Lineage: Eukaryota; Metazoa; Chordata; Actinopteri; Lophiiformes; Lophiidae
Description: partial 16S ribosomal RNA
Rfam family: Bacterial large subunit ribosomal RNA
Source: RNAcentral